RNAcentral lists this long non-coding RNA (544 nucleotides) under Sus scrofa (pig). RNAcentral describes it as "lncRNA (ENSSSCG00065043546.1)". The record is from RNAcentral. Lineage: Eukaryota; Metazoa; Chordata; Mammalia; Artiodactyla; Suidae.
UUGGCAGGAAAUGGGGAACUGGCUCAUUGACCUUCAGUGAGGCAUCAUAGUGGGUGAGCUUUGCAAGUCAUCACCUGACCCUGACUUUGCCUCAAGGAUGCUCUGUGUAGGUCCACAUCAAGUUCUAGAGGGAGAACUAAGAAUAAAAGAAAGAUACCUCCUUGUGGAAGGAUCUGGAUGGUGGCCGGAAGAGGAUUCCCCAGAGAGCAUCUAGCCUGGGUCCCAGUGGCAACAGAUGCUGGAGAGGUGAGGCAUCCCCAUGCUGCUGCCCAAUUGGCUGUCCCCCAAGCUCCUUCUGUGGUGGCAAUUCUUUGAUCACACUGACACUUGCUCUGAAGAUAUCUACUCCACUCAAGGUGGCCUUCUCACCUCUGGAAGGAGGCCAGGAAAGCUGCAGUUUUCGCCUCAUAUCAGGUACUCAAGUUUUUUUCAGAGGUUAUGAAGAGUUUCCCAUCCAGCAGCAUGUAGCCCAAUUUCCCAGGAAGAAGCAGGCCCUUCUCAUCCUGGAUUAAACAGAACCCUCUGUAGCAGAUGCAGUGGCUUC